This 205-nucleotide ribosomal RNA is filed under the name uncultured bacterium. RNAcentral describes it as "partial 16S ribosomal RNA". It matches the Rfam family "Bacterial small subunit ribosomal RNA", at positions 568 to 774 of the family's 1533-position model. The record is from RNAcentral.
CACGCAGGCGGUUUGUUAAGUCAGAUGUGAAAUCCCCGGGCUCAACCUGGGAACUGCAUUUGAAACUGGCAAGCUAGAGUCUCGUAGAGGGGGUAGAAUUCCAGGUGUAGCGGUGAAAUGCGUAGAGAUCUGGAGGAAUACCGGUGGCGAAGGCGGCCCCUGGACGAAGACUGACGCUCAGGUGCGAAAGCGUGGGGAGCAAACA